Molecule: transfer RNA, 82 nt
Organism: Neolentinus lepideus HHB14362 ss-1
Lineage: Eukaryota; Fungi; Basidiomycota; Agaricomycetes; Gloeophyllales; Gloeophyllaceae
Rfam family: tRNA
About the family: Transfer RNA (tRNA) molecules are approximately 80 nucleotides in length. Their secondary structure includes four short double-helical elements and three loops (D, anti-codon, and T loops).
Source: Rfam
GGGCACUUGGCACAGUGGUAGCGCGCACGCUUCGCAUUGAAUGACUUGCGUGAGGUCGGGAGUUCGAUCCUCCCAGUGUCCA